GCUACAAGAAAGGAGAGUCCCUGGGGCGGGUUGCAGCUGGUUCGGGCAGACCGGUAAACAGUGGCUGCGGCAGCGGACACACCUCCGCGUGGGAGGCGGGGCCUCCGAUGGCCACGCCCGCUCACGUCAAGGGAGGAGACUAUCCUUAUUGGGAGGAAGUCUCUGGGUUCACCUCACACUAAAAGGUUGGAGAAAGUUAUGUUCCAUCUCCUAAGGCACUCUCUACGUGUAAGUCAUGGUAACCAAAUGGGAACACAGCCUCAUGAGCAUGUCCUGUCAAGUGUGGAUAUAGAACAGGUGCUCAACUAUUUAUUAAAUGACUUAAUGAAGCAAAACAGCUUACUUCCUCUUCAAGGAACACAUCAACGCCUUAGCUGUCACCACACUCUCUCCCUGAAAUACCUUUUUCACUUAUGCUUGUCAAAACUUAUCCAUCCUUGCUCUUCUUGAGGAAAUGGACAUUGUAAGUAGUGACUGGACAUGUUUCUUGUCCUGCUUCGUUAGCUAACAAAUGUACUGUGCAGUUGAUGGCCUUCUCUCAAGCAACGAUGGAAGACUGCAUGGUUACUUACUGCAUGCUGCUGCUGCUGCUGCUGCUAAGUUGCUUCAGUCGUGUCGGACUCUGCGACCCCAUAGACGGAAGCCUACCAGGCUCCCCCGUCCCUGGGAUUCUCCAGGCAAGAACACUGGAGUGG
This is a long non-coding RNA of Bubalus bubalis (water buffalo), 695 nucleotides long. RefSeq lists it as uncharacterized. The transcript is spliced from 3 exons. The record is from RefSeq and is a predicted model, not a curated record. Lineage: Eukaryota; Metazoa; Chordata; Mammalia; Artiodactyla; Bovidae.